This 74-nucleotide transfer RNA is filed under the name SAR116 cluster bacterium. RNAcentral describes it as "tRNA-Thr". It matches the Rfam family "tRNA". From Rfam's summary of the family: Transfer RNA (tRNA) molecules are approximately 80 nucleotides in length. Lineage: Bacteria; Pseudomonadati; Pseudomonadota; Alphaproteobacteria; Puniceispirillales (SeqCode). The record is from RNAcentral.
GCCCGCUUAGUUAAAUGGUAUAACAGGUCAUUCGUAAUGACUAGUUGGGGGUUCGAUUCCCUCAGCGGGCACCA